RNAcentral lists this ribosomal RNA (252 nucleotides) under uncultured bacterium. Its description in RNAcentral is "partial 16S ribosomal RNA". It matches the Rfam family "Bacterial small subunit ribosomal RNA", at positions 524 to 776 of the family's 1533-position model. The record is from RNAcentral.
UACGUAGGGGCGAGCGUUGUCCGGAAUUAUUGGGCGUAAAGGGCACGCAGGCGGUCUGCCAAGUUCGGGGUGAAAGUCACCAGCUUAACUGGUGAAGGACUUCGAAAACUGGCGGACUUGAGAGCGAGAGAGGGACAUGGAACUCCGGGUGGAGCGGUGAAAUGCGUAGAGACCCGGAAGAACACCAAAGGCGAAGGCAGUGUCCUGGCUCGUGUCUGACGCUGAGGUGCGAAAGCUAGGGGAGCGAACGGG